GAUUCCAGGACAUAGAAUCCAUCU
RNAcentral lists this non-coding RNA (24 nucleotides) under Cricetulus griseus (Chinese hamster). The record is from RNAcentral. Lineage: Eukaryota; Metazoa; Chordata; Mammalia; Rodentia; Cricetidae.